This is an RNA transcript of Zophobas morio, 5729 nucleotides long. It is a transcript of the gene named BTB/POZ domain-containing protein 9-like, with no coding region annotated. The record is from RefSeq and is a predicted model, not a curated record. The transcript has 10 exons. NCBI's taxonomy places the organism in Eukaryota, Metazoa, Arthropoda, Insecta, Coleoptera, Tenebrionidae.
GAUUAGGAAUAAGUAACCGGGAAGUAGGUUAGACUGGUCUGUAAAAAUGACAGAAGUGGCUUCAAACAUCCUGAUGAAAAUUCUUCCCUUUAACUCAGACAAGCACGUUGGUUGAAAGUAAUAAAAAUCAGUUUAUUAUAAAUAAUCUAUUUUGUAUAUUUCAUAUGUUAUAUUGAACCACUAAAGGAAAUAUUAAAAUAUGCAACGGAACGGGUUGAAAAUAAUCACAUACAUUAACAUUUUCUCGAGCAGUUUAUUUUGUACUAUGAUAUGCACAACACAAAAUAAACUUUAUCAUAAAUAUUUCAUGUGAUUGUGAUUAUUGUACAGUGCUAUUAAAAAAGUUUCGUAAUUUUGAUCUAUACUUCUAUACUUAUAUUAUAAAGCUGAAGUGUUUGUUUAGUUGAACGUGCUAAUCUCAGAAACUACUAGUUUUAAUUCAAAAAAUCUUUUUGUGUUGGAUAGUCCAUUUAUCGUAUCUACAUAUAGGCCAUAUAACAUCACGCUACGAUCAAUAGGAGCGAAGUAGCAAUGAAAAAUUCUGAAAAAUGGGAAAAUUAUUCCUCCUUUGACAGCUUCCGUUGCUUACGCUGCUUAAAUGGUUAAAGUUACGUAAAAAUAAUGUAUGACGAAAUUGUUCCCCUCUAAAAGUUCUAAAGAAAAGUCCGGGACAGCAUAAGGUCGAUUCAGUAUAACCUAAUUUAUGGGAAUGAAAUUUGUUCUAAAAUAAUAAUGUAUCUAAAAAUGAGCAUCCGCGUGGCAAAUGACUGAGCUGUCUGUCAAGCAGCUUAGAAAACGAGUAGGAUAGUUGUAAGAGUGAACGUCGUCAAAAGGUAUAUUCAGUUUAAAGAACACAUUAGGAGCGAGACUAUCGAAAAUUUUUCAGGUAAUUAACUUUUAUUUAUGCAUAAAUUGUGCAGUGCUUUUUUUCUAACACUGGCCAUAGAGAUUCCCAUCUCAAGUUGUCUACGCCAUACUAACUUAUAUUUUGGUGACUCGAUUUUUGCUUUGAUGGUUGAACACUGUCACUGUUUUCCGUUUUUGUUGUAUCGAGAUGAUACUUGAGCAUCAACUGUUACCUACUGAAGUAUUAGCACAUCUAGAAAAACUAGAAAUAUUUUGAUUUGAUAUUCUAGUAGAUACUUCGUAUUUCGAGUAUGAGCAUCUACUGAGUUUUAUUUGUAUCAACCAUUGUCAAAAAAUUGUUCGAACGUUGUUUCGACAGAACUUCCUUCGAACCAAAAGUAUAAUGAAACAUAUUCAGCAUUUUCGAGUUGAGUCUUUUCUUCACACAAUUUUGUGAUGGCCUAAUCAACAUUUACGAUCAACACGUAUACCACCUUGGUUUGGCACAGUACAGUACUAAAAAUAACUGUAUUGUAUUCCCAAAAUUAUCUGCGAAAAUCGAGUGAGCCGUUCCAUCAAUUUUUUAGGGGAAAUAAAUAAAUAUUCUUAACAAUUUACCAUUCUUACAAUAACUUUAAAACAUCUACAAGAUCUCAAAGUAUUCAUUUCUGCAACUCUUGUGUUAUUCACUAAAAUAAAUUGACUGAUCCAUACAUUUUUUUGAGUCACUGUAAAAGCAAAUCUAAAAAAUAUGAAUGCAAUGAUAAAUUACGAAAAUAUACUGACGAUAUUUUGCACAUUUUAGAUAGGAUUUAUUCGGUAAAAUCUUGAAAUGACGUCAUCAAGUUUUUGGGCUUGAUAAACAGAUAUAUUUUGAUUAAAAACCUACCAUGUCAAACAGUAACUUCAAAACGUCUGCAAUAAUUCAAAAUUCAGUUUUGCAAUUCUUGAUUCAAUCAAUAAAAUAUAUAGACUCAGUGAUUAAUUUUUUUGAGACACCCCUUAUAAUCAAAACUAAAAAAUAUGAAUGGAAUGAUAAAUCACAAGUAUAGUCUCAUCCUAUUUUGGACAUUUUAGAUAGGAUUCAUUUGGCAAAAUUUUGGGCUGACGUCAUCAAUUUUUUGGAGGGGAUAAGUAAAUUAUUUUGAAUAAAAAUUCAUAUGUUGAAAACAUCUAUAAGAUUUCAAAGCAUUCGGUUUUGCAGAUUCAAAAUUAAAUUGUAGGUGAAACGAAGUUCACGGGGUCAGCUAGGAGUAAAUAAUGCAUUAAUGCCAGUAGGAAAUUUUUAAACAAUUGUUUCAAGUUCUUAAAACGACAUUUUUGGAGAGUAAUUAUUCCAACUUAUGUUGUUUCUUAGAAACAUAUGAGUCCUUCCUAAUUACUGACCAAAUUCUUAUAAAUAUAUAUUUUCAACGUAAAGUUUUUAAAUUUUAGAGUUUCUUUAAAAAUUUGACAAUUUCUUAGUUCUUUCCCCUUUGGCACAGAACUAAACAAUACUUCAAAAAUACAAAAAUUUCUUUGUCCAUCCCCGCCAAACUUUUAAGACAUCAUAUCGCACUUUACAAUAAUAAAAAUUAAAUAAUUAAAAGAGUGAGUAUGGAUUAAAAAUAUAGGGUGUACCCAACUAGGUCUAAUUUUAAAACAGUUGAAAAAUAUCACGUGUUCUAGUCAAUUCAAACAUUUCUUUAUCAGUUUAUCAGUAAGUUAACAAACCUAUAGAUACGUGUAAGUCGUUCCAAAGGGGUAACGGCAACAUUUAAAUGAAAUCAGUAAUCACGUUGCAAUCGCACCAGAAACUUUGUUUCAGCCACCGCUAAAAUAUUUCCUUGUCUUAAUAUUUUUAGAUUUCUACGAACCACAAUGGCAAACGAAGCAGAACCCCAACAAAAAAUAAUUAUUACUGAUUCUUUGAAGAUGUAUGAAGAUAUGUCACCUUACUACUUGAGGGAAACGUUUUCCGACAUUCAACUAAUCCUAUCCGACAAAAUAAUUCAUGCGCACAAAAUUGUACUCGCUGCUAGGUGCAAAUAUUUUGAGUCUCUUUUAAUGAUAGACCCAAAACAAGCUGAAAUUGCUUUACAGAAUGUGCCUUCCAAAGCUUUUGAAACAAUACUGUAUUACAUUUAUACAGGAUCCAUUGUCAUCGCAUCGGAAGACGAAAAUAAUAUAUCCGAUAUACUGAAAUUAGCGCACGAAUAUUCAUUAAAAACACUGGAAAAGAGUAUAAACGAAAAAAUGAAUUCCAUUGUGAAUUUGUCAAAUGUUUGUUCCCUUCUAAACAAAGCCAACGCACAUGACAUGGACGAGUUAAGAGAAAUAUGUCAUACUUUUAUUGAUAAACAUGUUUCGCAAAAGUUAGAAUAUGAUUUUUUCAAUAUUCUCACACAAAAAUCUAUGAUUAACUUGUUGAAAAGAGAUGCGUUUCCUGUUGAAGAAAUUAAUGUCUUUAAGAUAGCGGCAAACUGGUGCAAGUUUCAUGAAGACUUGGACAACUUGGUUAUUGAAUGCAUUCGAUUUUCUACGUUAACGCGAAAUGAAAUUUUAACUGUUGUUUGGACGACUAAAAUAGUAGAUGAAACAAAACUGUUGAAUGCUCUUGCAAUGAUUGAAGUUAACGGUCCGAAAGAAACACAACGACGCUUUGCUGGAUGGUGGAAAGGUAAAAAUCUUGCUACAGCAGAAAAUAAUGUGAAAGUUAUUUUUGGAUUAAAUACCGCAAUGUUGUUUGAAGAAACAGAAAAGUUUGAAGAAGGUGCUUAUCACAAUGUGGACGAUAAAAACGGUAUUACUGUAGAUCUUGGUGCCGUAAAAUGCUUCAAUUACAUAACAAUGUAUGUAAUUAUUAAACGUUCGUGGCCCUAUUACUACAUAGAAGUUUCAACAGACCUUCAAAAGUGGCAUAAUGUUGUAGAUUACAGCAAAUAUUAUUGCGAGUGCAUUCAAAACUUAUAUUUUGAAGAACAACAGGCUAGGUACAUUAGGAUAGUCUUAAAGAACGAUAGAACCAGAAUUAGUAGAUUUCAAGUUUACAUGAGCAGUAAGGUUCCUAAAAUACAUAACCAAAUUGUCUUCCCUUUUUCAAACGUCAUAACUUCUGAAACCUGUAUAAAUUUUUUAGGACACCCCCCAUAAGCAGACAACUCUUUUAAGGCGAACAUUUUUUCAUAGUCCGGGUACUGACAAUAUAAAAAAAUAUAUUUAUAUGAACCUCUCAUAAACGGACCCUUCGCUGGGUGGACACGGAUACCUUUGAACAGUAGUUCUGAACGCCCUCUGGUUUUUACAUCGAUUUCGAUUGGAACAUUUCUUUGAAGCACAAAUAUACAGACAAGUGUUUAAACAAUGUACAUUAGCUAUUUAUGCUACCUUUUACUUAAUAUUGAGAAAAACGCCUUUAAAAGGGUGCAUAUUAACUCUUAAAGACGUGUCCAAAGGUAUUAAAAUGGGGGAAACUAAAACAGGCGGUAUUAUUAAAUAUGUGACACUCUUUUUUUAAUACUGGCGUAACACUAUAUUGUGCAACAAGUUUUGAAAAUACCCUUUUCACAUGAGUGUAACGUUUAGCAGUCAAAGGAGUAUGAAAAACGCCAAUUUCAAACGUAUUGCACAUUAUACUUUUUCUACACUUAAAAAUGAUACGUAAAAAAUUUCUAAACCAACCAAAGGAAGCUACUUCUGUCUGAUUGAUUGUUCAGUAAUUACUUUUUCAACGCUUUAGUAACUUUCUGAUAGUUGACAGAUUGUUGUAAAUCCUUUACCACAUCAAUAGACUGUUGAUAAUUUGCUAGCUGUUCCUCAUUUGACUCGUCAGAUUUACUAUUAAUAAAUUGUUAUGUAUCUUAAAGAACUCUUCUAAAUUACUGCUGUUAACACGUAACAUAAUUAUUCUCAUUCUUCCUGAUCAUGCUGACACAAUGUUAUUGUUACUUUUCUUUAGAACAUUUUUCCACCAACACAAUUUUUCUACUUCACUGUAAGAGUUUAUAAAAAAGAGACCCGUUUCAUUUGCGUUAUAGAUAUUUUUUGGCAACUAGAUUUUCAAAAAUCGAGGAUUCUUGGUUAUGAAAGUUUCUACAUCUUGGUCCACACUUGCUGGUUCACCAGAAAUAGCCUUAAAACAAAUGUUAAGGCGUUUACAAAUUUUUCAAGCUAACCAACUGAAGCAUGGAAUUUCCAUUUCUUAAACUUUUCAUUUGGCUCGAAUUACAGCUCCUAAAAGUCUGAUAUUUGGUAAAAAAUACUAGCAUAUGCAUUAAGUUAUCUGAUGCAGUGAUUUCUUUUCUAUUUUUGUAAACCACUCAUCACAUAAUGUAUCAAUGUUCAAAAAUCGUUUUUUCUACACUUACUAUACAAUAGUUAUUUUCGUGGAAAUACACUUUACAAAUAUUUUAUUUAAAUCCAGCAACCGUCAAACUACAUAACUGGAUUAUUUUAAUGAUUAGUUAAUUUUACACUGAACUGUUUUCUGUUCAUUUUUAGUAUUCCAAAAAGUUCAUUUUCUUUUUAAUAUAGGCUUAGUUAUUACGCUUGUAAAAACGAAAUACUUAUACAUUUCAUUUUUUUCUCAUUAACGGACAUCACAAAUGAGAGGACGGGUUUUCCUCAGUUCCGAAGCUGUCCACCGAAGAGAGAUUUCACUGUAUAUGGACUAAUGUAUAAAGUUUGAUCGUUUCUUUUAUCACUUUGAGAUACAUGUCACAAUUUUUAGAAAUAAAAUAUAUGUAAACAUACCAUUAGAACAAACAAAAAUAGUAGUUACAUGUUAAAAGUACCUAAUGAUUGUUUACGUUAUACGUGGAAGCACUACUAUCUACAUGUGUGAAGUUUGCUCACAAGGAAAUAUAGGGGGACGCGUGAUGCAUUCACUAUGUGUCUGUGUUUAG